Long non-coding RNA from Cherax quadricarinatus, 1184 nucleotides. RefSeq lists it as uncharacterized. NCBI's taxonomy places the organism in Eukaryota, Metazoa, Arthropoda, Malacostraca, Decapoda, Parastacidae. The record is from RefSeq and is a predicted model, not a curated record.
GACCACUCUCACCUCCUGCAGCGCACUAUGAAUCUUGCAUCAUACGCUCACCACCGCAGCUACAAGGCCAUCGACACCUUCAAUUUGACUGCAGCCCGCUGUAGACACUUUCUCCAGGGAGUGUGCCUGCCAUUUUCACCAGGUGGUGUCGAGAUGUGAGGGCAAUGGGGAGGUGGUGUACCAUGUAGAGGGAGAAAUCAGUGCCAUUUGCACCAACAUACUUGCCAACACCUUUUCUCCACACUUUUCACCAGAUAUUAGCCCUUGAUGUGGGUGUGUCAAUCAACCACUGAGAAAGGAAGCAGAAGGGCUUCACUGUGGCUUCCAGCUAACUUAGCAACGUGUAACUUAUUGAUCUGUAUAAAAAAGUUGCAUUUUUAUUAGUUAUUCUGUUUUGUAUAGAUCUUGUUAUUCCUUUUAGAUAUAUAUCAUUGUGAUGAAUAGAAGUAUGUUUAUCAGAGCAAAUAUGUUAAUCUUUUUUUUUUAAUCUUUUGGGCCAUAUAUUGUACAUUCUACUGAGGACUCUAUGGCUGUUUUCUUAUAUACAUGUAGGACACACUUUACCAUGUAUAUUAUAAUUUACAUAUUUUAUAUAUACACAUACAUGUUAUAUAUGUAUUAUUAUAUAAAAAAUUGUGUGGUGAAGGCUGUCUUACAUGCAAAUUAGGAAAACAGCCAUGAAAAUUAAAUUACAGGUAUAUUUUAGCUUCCAGCUGAAGUCCUAAGUAAAAUGUGUAACAGGAAGGUCAAAAUAUAUAGGGUAAGACGUCAAGUUAAAGCUAAAUGCUGUACUGAUGUAAGCCCUGUGCUGCAGGGCAGGAGAGUCAUUGAAGCUAGUAAAUAUAAGCAACCUGGACCAGGAGAGAGUUCCAGGCAAGGACUUAAUUUGCCAGAAAUGCUCAGCAUGACAAGGGGCUUUUUAUAUAGUAGUAUGUUAUUGAUGUCAGCUUGGCCUGUAUACCUUGUUCUUGUAGUAAAUACACAUAUAAUUACCCUCGAUGUUCUGAACUUCCUUUGCAUCCCUCAUGGUUGAGGGAAAAUUUGGGUUGUUGUGUUUUGUCAAAGGAACUGGUUCUCCAACAGCUGAGAGAAGAUAUGUUAAUCAAGAUUCGUUGUAUCUGCAGAAAAGAUGUUACCUUUGACCUUUGAUAUACCUUUGAAGAAUUUCGAGAGUAUAUCUACUC